Cavia porcellus (domestic guinea pig) is the source of this 1495-nucleotide long non-coding RNA. RefSeq lists it as uncharacterized. The transcript is spliced from 3 exons. The record is from RefSeq and is a predicted model, not a curated record. Lineage: Eukaryota; Metazoa; Chordata; Mammalia; Rodentia; Caviidae.
AAGCGCUUAGAGCACUCUGGCAUCAGCACCCUUUUACUAGGAGAAAGGCCUGGACAUUAAGCGUUCUUUCUUCUAUAGCCUGACUGAAUCCUGACCAUGGGACCCCUAACCUAGAUGGUCAAGUGGGACUUUCGUGAGCUUAUGAAUUUUUAUAAGGUUCUAUUUUUGCAAUAUCAUGUAAUGCUCCAGUACCAAUGGACACGUCAUCUGCUGACCUUUCAGCUGGUGAGGCACUUCCCCAGCACAGAGCCUCGAGGCCACUGGUUUUCUCCUCCGGGGUGAGGCUGUUUAGUGCUCUCUGCUCUCCUCUGCCAUUUGCAUCCCGACAUCCUUAUUUUAACAUCUGCCUACCUUCGCUGAGAAAGGCCCGCCGGUGAUGCCCUCCUGGGUGCUCAGCAAUGCCCAGGGGACCCUGUGGUUUCGGCAAGGUGCAGGCAUCAUGAAACCGAGAGAGAAGAACAAGUGGAGCGAAGAAGUUACUCAAAGGUUCUGCUGUCACUGUCACCUGCCUCUGCUAUACUACUUCCUCAGGAAGCUACCUCUCCUGCUGUUUCUCUACCCCGCGCCCGCCUGCUGAGAUCUUCAGUGCUGAGUCCCAGCCGACCUUCCCAGAAGCUUGCAGAAACCAUCAACCUGUGUUCAAAUGCCAACUUUGUCCUUGACAAAAUGACCUUGAGUAUGUUAUUCAGGUUUUUUGGAGCCUCCUUUUCCUAAUUUGAAAAAAAAAGUAGGGGGAAAGAUAGUAUUUACCUCACAGUUUUAUUUUGCUUUUCAAAGAUUAAAUGAGAUCAUGAGAGCAAAAACUGCUUAGCAUAUAGAAGAUAAAAAGAGUUUUGUUGAUCUGUGGAUCUUCUGGAGGAGCUGGAUUUAUUUUCCUUUUUCUCCAGCUCUAGAGCAUUAUCAGCCUUCUCUGUUCUGCUUCAGUCAGAGUUGUCUGUGUUUGUGGGGUGGGGUCACAAACUCACGCUACUCCUUUUAGUAUUUCCUCUGGUGUCUUUAGCAUAAUCCUGGCUCGAGUCAUUACAUCAAGUUAAAUAGACCUCCUGGAUGUUUCUCCAUGACAUUUAUUCCAAUGACGUCUUUGAGCUGGGGUAUGGAGGCUGCCCAUGUCUUACCUGUCAGACUGCUCAAGACCUGCACCCUGCAGGCCUCAUGGGCACCUCAGAUCCAACCUGCCUCAACCUGAAUUCCCUAGGUCCACUCCUCCUACAGCCUUGGGCAAUGGUUCUCAAUCAUGGCUGUUUUCGCCCCAGCAGAGCAUGUGGCAGUGUGUGGAGGUUUUUGGGAUUGUUACUACUAGGGCAUCUCUGAGGUAGAGGUCAGAUGCUGUUAAAUGGAUGCACCUUGAGACCAUAAUGCUAAGAGAAAUAAAUCAGACACACAAGCUUUUGCAUCACAUGGCUUCUCUUGUGUGAAAUCCCCAAGUUAUAAAUAAUUUAAAGAGCAAAAUAAAAGAGAUAAUACAAAAUAGGGCUAUAGAUUCUUUGCAAAUGGA